Long non-coding RNA from Oncorhynchus tshawytscha (Chinook salmon), 390 nucleotides. RefSeq lists it as uncharacterized. Lineage: Eukaryota; Metazoa; Chordata; Actinopteri; Salmoniformes; Salmonidae. The transcript is spliced from 3 exons. The record is from RefSeq and is a predicted model, not a curated record.
UGUUCCCAUGUCCGUUGGUCUUAGGAAUACUUCAUCAAAAUGAAACCAGCAUCUACCCAGGCCUGAGUGCCAAACUGCUAAAACAGAGGGCAACCUACAACAAGGCGAGAUCCCCACUACGCAAGCUAAACCGGAGAUGCCGCUUCAUCCAACCUGAAAAACGAAUCUUGACCUUCCAGAAUACAACACACUUGUUUUCCACUGCCAAGGAGGCUCAACGCUUCUUUUCGAAGCACAUCAAGCCCAACACACAGGGGGACAAGCCGACAAGAUGUAGGCUAACCCCAACUUGACUGGCUCAAUAUUCAGGGAUCCGGUGUGCUGGGACAGCACUGCCCUGACUCCUACUUCGGAGGCAUCCACCUCGAUGAUGAAGGGAAGUGAGGGGUC